This 156-nucleotide small nuclear RNA is filed under the name Macaca mulatta (Rhesus monkey). RNAcentral's name for it is "U1 spliceosomal RNA (ENSMMUG00000026583.3)". It matches the Rfam family "U1 spliceosomal RNA". Rfam says of the family: U1 is a small nuclear RNA (snRNA) component of the spliceosome (involved in pre-mRNA splicing). Its 5' end forms complementary base pairs with the 5' splice junction, thus defining the 5' donor site of an intron. The record is from Rfam by way of RNAcentral. Lineage: Eukaryota; Metazoa; Chordata; Mammalia; Primates; Cercopithecidae.
AUACUUACCUGGCAGGGGAGACACUAUGAUCACAAAGGUGGUUUUCCCAGGGUUAGGCUCAUAUUCCAGGUGUGCUGACCCCUGCAAUUUCCCCAAAUGCAGGAAAUUCAACUCUGUAAUCGGUGGUUGGGGGGACUGUGUUUGCAAUUUCCCACG